Phascolarctos cinereus (koala) is the source of this 1681-nucleotide long non-coding RNA. NCBI's taxonomy places the organism in Eukaryota, Metazoa, Chordata, Mammalia, Diprotodontia, Phascolarctidae. The record is from Ensembl.
GGGGACCUGAGGAUAUGACUUUGUAUGGAUGCAGCCCACAAAGGGUAUUUAAAGGGCCAAGAUCUGCCAUGCCCCUUUCAACCUCCUGUCAGCAUCAUGGCUCCUGGGUCUUCCCCAUCUUGAUGCUCCUACUCUGUGCGAUCCAGGGAAGCCAGCAAGGCGGGGUUCCCCCAGGAGCAGGGGCUGGAGCUGCGGCUGGGAGCCCACCAGGAAAGGCAGGCUAUGGCCCACUGCCAAAUGGCUAUGGAGCAGGACCUGGGGCUCAGAAUGGCUAUGGAGCAGGAUACAGGAAUGGACUGGGAGCAGGAGCCUUCCCUAGAGCUGGAGCCCAGACAGAGUUGCAUUCCCCAUCCCCCAUACCUUUGAUUCUGCCCACAAUCAACCUCCAGCCUGAGACCUCUCUGCUCCCCGAAAGGCCCGUAACACAACCCCUUCCCUCUGUCUCGCCAGCAUAUAGAAACGGAUUGGGUAAUGGGGCUUUCCCAGGAGCUGGAGCCCAGCCAGGGCUAGGAGGGGAAAUGAAACCUCAGAAAGCUGGAUAUGGGAACGGGCUGGGAGCUGGGGGCUUUCCAGGGGCUGAAGCCCAGCCAGGAUUUGGAGUAGGAACCAAGCCUCAGAAAGCAGGAAAUGGGAAUGGUCUACAAGCUGGGGCCUUCCCAGGAGCCAGAGCUCAGCCAGGUCCCUGUAAUAGGGGCUCCAUUCCAGCUCCCAAUGGAGUAGGGCCCGCAACAGGGAGUCCCUCAGAAAAAGGAGGAUUCAGGGCUCAGAAUGGCUAUGGACCAGUUUCUCCCUCAGGCCUUGAAGAUGGAUUGAAGACUCAUAAAACAGGACUCAGAAAUGUGUUUGGAGCUGGACCCUUCUCAGGGGCCAAGAUUCAGCCAGGCUAUGGUGCCAUGAAUGGGUAUAGAGCAGGUCUUAGAGGAGGAGCCAAACCACAGAAAACAGGCUAUGGAAAUGGAUUAGGAGCAGGUGCUUUCCCAGAGUCUGGGCCACAGCCAGGGUUUGGGACCCCAAAUGGUUUUGGAGUAGGCCUAGGUGGUGUGAAGCCUCAAAAAGCAGUUUAUAGCAAUGGACUGGGAGCUGGAACCUUUUCUGAGGUCAGGGCCCAGCAAGCAGGUUUCCCUGGGGCCAGAAGUUAUCCAGCCAAUGGCUACAGCAAUGGUGGGGCCAGCUUCUUUGGUGCUCAGGGAGUCCCCUUUCUCCCUGGAGGUUCAGACUCUGGGGCCAAAACUGCUAAGUAUGACUAUGGAAAUGGGGUAGGCGAAGGCUCCUACCCUGCGGAUAGAAGCGCGCCAGGUCUCUAUGGUCAGUUAAGACCAGAGGCAGUCCCCGGGACUUACGGUGGGCCAGAUGUGAAGCACAGCUUCAAUGGCUUCCUGGGAAAUGGCUAUGUAGGUCGCUGUCCUCCAGGGAAAUGUUGAGCCUAAAGGGUUCCCUCCAAUAUCCCCCAUGUGAAGAUCUUCAGGGGAGCUCGGAGCCUAAGACCUGGCCACCUUACUGCUGUCAGGUUUUUUGGAAAAAAAACCAGGCUCCUUGGGAGGGGAGUCUCCCCUCUGCCCCAUCAGGGUCUUUCUUUGGUCCUUUAACCCAGUCUUAUAAGGGGCCCCUCACAGCAGAGAGGAGGAGGAGGAGAUCAAGGGCCUGUUAAUAAAAGAUUUAAAUUCACAAGUUUGGUGGUCCA